GGUGCGGGCCGGGCCCCUCUGGCGUUCCUUCGGGAACGUGAUGUCGGACCGCAUCG
Regulatory RNA element from Sphingomonas sp. Root720, 56 nucleotides. It matches the Rfam family "terC RNA". The record is from Rfam. Lineage: Bacteria; Pseudomonadati; Pseudomonadota; Alphaproteobacteria; Sphingomonadales; Sphingomonadaceae.